GUGGGGAAUUUUGGACAAUGGGCGCAAGCCUGAUCCAGCAAUGCCGCGUGCAGGAAGAAGGCCCUCGGGUUGUAAACUGCUUUUGUACGGAACGAAAAGCCUGGGGCUAAUAUCCCCGGGUCAUGACGGUACCGUAAGAAUAAGCACCGGCUAACUACGUGCCAGCAGCCGCGGUAAUACGUAGGGUGCAAGCGUUAAUCGGAAUUACUGGGCGUAAAGCGUGCGCAGGCGGUUUUGUAAGACAGGCGUGAAAUCCCCGGGCUCAACCUGGGAAUUGCGCUUGUGACUGCAAGGCUGGAGUGCGGCAGAGGGGGAUGGAAUUCCGCGUGUAGCAGUGAAAUGCGUAGAUAUGCGGAGGAACACCGAUGGCGAAGGCAAUCCCCUGGGCCUGCACUGACGCUCAUGCACGAAAGCGUGGGGAGCAAACAGGAUUAGAUACCCUAGUAGUCC
This 450-nucleotide ribosomal RNA is filed under the name uncultured bacterium. RNAcentral describes it as "partial 16S ribosomal RNA". It matches the Rfam family "Bacterial small subunit ribosomal RNA", at positions 354 to 796 of the family's 1533-position model. The record is from RNAcentral.